GGUCAGGAUGAACGCUAGCGGCAGGCUUAACACAUGCAAGUCGAGGGGCAGCGCGAGUAGCAAUACUUGGCGGCGACCGGCGCAAGGGUGCGUAACGCGUGAGCAACAUGCCCGUAUCAGGGGGAUAAUCCAGGGAAACUUGGUCUAAUACCCCAUAGUAAUUUUGUAAGGCAUCUUAUAAGAUUUAAAGCUUUGGUGGAUACGGAUUGGCUCGCGUGACAUUAGCUGGAUGGUAAGGUAACGGCUUACCAUGGCUAUGAUGUCUAGGGGUUCUGAGAGGAAGGUCCCCCACACUGGAACUGAGACACGGUCCAGACUCCUACGGGAGGCAGCAGUGAGGAAUAUUGGACAAUGGAUGGAAAUCUGAUCCAGCCAUGCCGCGUGAAAGGAAGAAGGUCCUAUGGAUUGUAAACUUCUUUUGUAUGGGAGCAAUAAGGCCUACGAGUAGGUUGAUGAGAGUACCAUACGAAUAAGCACCGGCUAACUCCGUGCCAGCCGCCGC
Molecule: ribosomal RNA, 502 nt
Filed under: uncultured bacterium
Lineage: Bacteria
Description: bacterial SSU rRNA
Rfam family: Bacterial small subunit ribosomal RNA
Source: RNAcentral